RNAcentral lists this ribosomal RNA (345 nucleotides) under uncultured bacterium. Its description in RNAcentral is "bacterial SSU rRNA". It matches the Rfam family "Bacterial small subunit ribosomal RNA", at positions 1 to 334 of the family's 1533-position model. The record is from RNAcentral.
AGUGUAGAUUCAGAGUUUGAUCCUGGCUCAGGACGAACGCUGGCGGCGUGCUUAACACAUGCAAGUCGAACGAGGUCCACGGUGUAGCAAUACACCUGAAGACCUAGUGGCGAACGGGUGCGUAACACGUGAGGAACUUGUCCCGGUCUCUGGGAUAACAGUUGGAAACGACUGCUAAUACCGGAUGACGUCGGAGCAUCGCAUGGUGCGCUGACGAAAGGGUUACUGGAUCGGGAGAGCCUCGCGGCCUAUCAGCUUGUUGGUGGGGUAACGGCCCACCAAGGCAUCGACGGGUAGCUGGUCUGAGAGGAUGAUCAGCCACACUGGGACUGAGACACGGCCCAG